This 497-nucleotide ribosomal RNA is filed under the name uncultured bacterium. RNAcentral describes it as "partial 16S ribosomal RNA". It matches the Rfam family "Bacterial small subunit ribosomal RNA", at positions 28 to 507 of the family's 1533-position model. The record is from RNAcentral.
GAUGAACGCUGGCGGCGUGCCUAAUACAUGCAAGUCGAGCGAACAGACGAGGAGCUUGCUCCUCUGACGUUAGCGGCGGACGGGUGAGUAACACGUGGAUAACCUACCUAUAAGACUGGGAUAACUUCGGGAAACCGGAGCUAAUACCGGAUAAUAUAUUGAACCGCAUGGUUCAAUAGUGAAAGACGGUUUUGCUGUCACUUAUAGAUGGAUCCGCGCCGCAUUAGCUAGUUGGUAAGGUAACGGCUUACCAAGGCAACGAUGCGUAGCCGACCUGAGAGGGUGAUCGGCCAAACAGGAACUGAGACACGGUCCAGACUCCUACGGGAGGCAGCAGUAGGGAAUCUUCCGCAAUGGGCGAAAGCCUGACGGAGCAACGCCGCGUGAGUGAUGAAGGUCUUCGGAUCGUAAAACUCUGUUAUUAGGGAAGAACAAAUGUGUAAGUAACUAUGCACGUCUUGACGGUACCUAAUCAGAAAGCCACGGCUAACUACGUG